RNAcentral lists this ribosomal RNA (510 nucleotides) under uncultured bacterium. RNAcentral describes it as "bacterial SSU rRNA". It matches the Rfam family "Bacterial small subunit ribosomal RNA", at positions 17 to 518 of the family's 1533-position model. The record is from RNAcentral.
UUAUGGCUCAGGAUGAACGCUAGCUACAGGCUUAACACAUGCAAGUCGAGGGGCAGCACGGUGUAGCAAUACACUGGUGGCGACCGGCGUACGGGUGCGUAACACGUAUGCAACCUACCCGCUAUUGGGGGAUAACCCGGCGAAAGUCGGACUAAUAUCCCAUAUUAUUCUUACCGGGCAUCCGGUGAGUCUGAAAGAUUUAUCGAUUGCGGAUGGGCAUGCGGAUGAUUAGCUAGUAGGUGGGGUAACGGCUCACCUAGGCGACGAUCAUUAGGGGUUCUGAGAGGAAGGUCCCCCCGCACUGGAACUGAGACACGGUCCAGACUCCUACGGGAGGCAGCAGUGAGGAAUAUUGGUCAAUGGGCGCUAGCCUGAACCAGCCAAGUCGCGUGAAGGAUGACAAGAUCUAUGGUUUGUAAACUUCUUUUGCAGGGGAGUAAAGUGCGACACGUGUGUUGUAUUGCAAGUACCCUGCGAAUAAGCAUCGGCUAACUCCGUGCCAGCCGCAGC